AGAGAGAGAAAGAAAAGAAAAGGGGAGGUGGGGAAAAAGAAAGAAAACUCACCGCAUUAACACGGUGCACUGGCAUGUUACUAAAUCUAAGGAAUUUUGAAGGAUAAAUUCUCAGACUUUAUCCAAAACAUGAAACAAAUUCUUCAAACAUAAGCUGCCACACUCAUCAACUUGUUCAGAUCCCUGUAAUGUCGCUCUCCCCAAACGCCACGCUUAGCUCUGUGAUUGGCUGUUUAACACUUGCAGGCUGUGGAGGUGGUGGGCAGGGAGGUCCGUCCGGAGGGGACUGUUCAACAAGCCUGGUGUGUUGGCCCCUCAGAAGAUCAGACUUCUGGAAUCGAUUUGGGUUCAGAAUUGCAUUACCGAAGGAAUGCCGAGUAUGCGCGGGCCUUGAUGGCUUGUGAACCACACUUCCUGAAGCUGGCCACAAGCCAGCACCGAGACCAUCAGCAUCUUAAAAAUGAAUUCUUUAUGAGACAAAGAACAAGCCACCCAAUUUCUGAAAUCACUGAAGUGGAAAGCUUGUCUCAAUGGAGCACUGACCAAGACAGAAGACCAUGAGGUUUUGCCUUCUGUGUGAAUUUUCAUGUCUAUUUCCUUCUGAGUACCUUACAAAGAAGACAAAGAAAAAUCUACCUGAACAGUGAGUGCAUACCUUAUUUUUCUUACUAGGAGAAUCACACCCUCGUUAGCCCAUCUUUCAUGAUAGAAAUACUAAAAAGUUACUUUCUUAAGGUGUAACAAUGGAGAUUUAAGUGAAGCCCAUGUUUCCAAGUGAAGCCUUAAUGUUAAAUCUAGUGAGCUGAGUUAAAACAUUUUCAUCAGAACCUGCAGCCAGCCUGAGAGACUUACUUCCCAAUUAAAUCCAUCUCUUUAUAAGUUCUGGAUGUUUUCACUUGCUUUAUGAAACAAUACUGGCAAGUCCAGACACAAUUGCCCUUUCUAAACAGUAUAUAAGCAAUCAAAUUAAGUUAGUUUGAGCAUAAAUUCCUAGAGGCUGCAGAGAGUCUAAUUGUCUAAUACAAGCAACUAGUGAAGAAAUGAAUGAAUGGAUGGACAACUUUUUUAAGUGAAAUAUUUCUAUGAAGAGAAAUCAGACUAUGAAUGACCGCUUCAAAGCUCUUCUUCAGUGGCUGGUGAUGAGCUGAUCAGUCAGAAAGAGCUGGAAAUGGCAACACAUGAAACUGGCAAACUUGUACAAUAUAUCUUAAAAUGAUAUUACCAAGAAUGUUGAAGAAAGAAAUCAGCUUGUUAGGUCAGAAAAUCAAAAUUGUUAUCACAGACUACCACAAACUGAUUCAACUAAUUUUCCGCUGAGCAAUGCAUUCCAGGGCUUUUGAAAGUCCCCCACACUUCACAGCAGGCUUCCCCAGUAUGAAGGGCCCUUAAACAUAAUUUGAUCCAGUCCAUGUGCUUAGUAGAAAAAAAAAGCAAAGACCCAAAGCAGCGGUGUAGCAUGUCCCAGGUCACAGAGUUAUACAGCCACCCUCUUAAUGCUCCUUCUGAGACACCAUGGUACCCUACUAAGAAUUCACAGGAGGGAUGAAGAGCCAGGCCAGAGAUAAUCAGGAUGCUGGACACAGAAGAGCUGCUUAAUAAAAGGUAGACCAGCUCUAAGUACUCAGGGUGAAUCAAGAAAACACCAGAGAAUGUGACAUUCUGGUGUAAAGGAGCCACAAGACCCCAGCAGAGUAAGGGAAAUUCAAGACUUUGCUGAUGAAAGUAUGUAGAAGGAACAUGGCUGUAAACCCAGUUGGGACACUUCUCUUCUAAAAGGUUCUGUUCCAAAUAUAGCAAUGUCACAGGAAUACAGGCUUCUUUCGCUGUUGGUUGGGAGAAAGAGAAAGUAGCUUGUGCGAUGCCUCAUAGCAAGCAUUGCUGAGCGAGAUCCCAUCAUCCCCAGUGAUGCCAGAACCCCCAAACCACCAAGGACUACAAGGAAAUGACUGGCUGCUCUGAUCCGUGCAGAACCAAGGCCUGAGAUGUUCCAGGAGUUGUUUUCAAAGAAAGUGUUUUGCCACCCUGCCAAGGAGAGAAAACCCACGAAAAGGGAGAAAUGGAAUUGUGUUAAGAUUUAUCACCAUGUGUCACCAUGGCUGAAAGCAGGACAGCAAAAAAAAAAAAAAAAAAAAAAAAAAGGGCAUGAGCAAGUGAGUUAAAAACUUUCCAUAGCAUGAAAAAUGUGGGCCUGAAGUGGAAUGCAAGGGAAACUUCCAAGAUGGCAGGCCAGAAUUUAGUGAUGGACUGUCAGAAUAGCUCCAGAGACAUACAGAGGAACAAGACAUACUAUAUUCCUAGGACUGACUUAAGAAUAAGGCCUGGACAAGAAGGAAGACUUGCAGCCAAAUGCUCAAAUGCCUUAAAGUUCCAAUGGUGCCUGUAGACACAGAGCUAGAACUUGGCCCACAUGAGAACAAUGAGGUUUCUGCCCACUGAAUCACGUGGAGACACCCUCUUACUUCCUACACAGUGAUCAGACUGGCAAAGAUCAAAAUGAGCCAGUCACUCUGGACCAGUCCUCGCUACUCCUCUGCUGUUCUGCCUGUAAUGGCUUCAUACUGUUUCAGCCCCUUUUGAGUGUUCUGUGGGAACAAGUUGAUGAUGGUUGGACAUCCAGUAAAAAGAAAAUUAAACAAUACAAAAAAAGAAAGAAGGAAGAAAUCAAAAAAGGAAGGAAGGAAGGAAGGAGAAAGAAAGAAAGAAAGAAAAGAAAAGUGAGUGAUGACUUGAGGUACUUAAUUACGAGAUGAUAAACCCUUGGGACCUUAGAACAAAUGCACAGAGCACUAAACUGUCCCGAAUCACCAGUUGCAUGCACACAAAAUAACAUAUUGAAAGAGAAAAUGUGUGUCAGAUUGGGCUUGGCAUUUUGUGUGCAUGAUCUUACUAAAGUCCUCAGUUUCCCCUUUUUGCAGAAAGGGAAACUUAGAGUUUAAAAGAUUUAACAUCUUACUUGAAGUUGUUUAGAGAGUCUCACAAACCCAGCUUAUUAGCGUCGGCAUUUAACCACUCCACUGUUUGCCACAUCUCUUUCAGCCUUUUAAGAAAAUAAAUGCUACAUUUAAAAACAAUUAAUCUAUUCGGUGUUCUGAACUGCCUCUGUGGAGUGGAAAGUCAGCAAGUACCACGGAUGAAGUCAUGGCCUGGAAAACCAGGCUCUGAUCGGAACUGGGCCACUCAAUACUGAGUGUGGUGUUUAAAAUUCUUACCCUGCUUGUCUGCCUUCACUUAAGUCAUAGUACUUUUCCUCUGAGAUGCAUCCCAUCCCCACAGACCGCUUCACACUAGUCAGUGGCGUGAAUUAAGAGUACAGGUUUUCCUGACCAUCACACACCACCGGAAGGACAAUUCCUUAGUCUUCGUGUGGAAGGACCAGUGAGAUGGGGUUUCUGUAUCUAAAUCUCAGGAUCCAGCACUUGCUACAAUUGUUUCUGCAAUUUCACUUGCCAUUGUGGAGGACCUCAAUGUCUGCUCUCCUAACUCUUCAGUAACAUUACCCAGAAUCCCUUACUAACCAGAGUACAAUUAAAGAAGGCAAAUGCACGGCGAAGCUCAUCAGUUCUUAGGGCCACAUCUGAACAUUCUCUUUAAGGCACAGGACCUUACUGAGUGUUUUACUGUGAUCUCCCUGGACCACCUGUUCCAGGGUAGCACCACCCACACAAUGAUCUGGACUCUUCCACAUCAACCAUGAAUCAAGAAAAUGGGCCACAGAUAGACACGCCCACACGGCAAUCUGAUGGAGGUUUCGAAGAAUUUACAAUGUCACAGAGAGCUGCUCCCAGCUUGCCUUCCCCAAGAAGUGACAAAAGUUAUAAAUCCAGGUCUUCUACUUUCUCACGAAAGGGACUGCCCAAAAAUGAGGAACCAGGAAAAUAAACAAUGAGUUGAAGAAACUCUUCAAGUCCAACUGGACUGAGGGAGACUAAGAUUAUAAUGUAUGUAUAAUUUGGAAGCCGCUUUCUUUCUGCUCUACAAUACAGUCUCCAGUUGCACGCUGGAUCCUUAGAUGCCAUAGGGCCACAUGCUACCAAAACUGCCAAUAAAGUAAAGAAAGGAA
Peromyscus californicus insignis is the source of this 4060-nucleotide long non-coding RNA. RefSeq lists it as uncharacterized. The record is from RefSeq and is a predicted model, not a curated record. NCBI's taxonomy places the organism in Eukaryota, Metazoa, Chordata, Mammalia, Rodentia, Cricetidae. The transcript is spliced from 5 exons.